AUACGAAGGGGGCUAGCGUUGUUCGGAAUUACUGGGCGUAAAGCGCAUGUAGGCGGACAUUUAAGUCAGGGGUGAAAUCCCGGGGCUCAACCUCGGAACUGCCUUUGAUACUGGGUGUCUAGAGUGUGGAAGAGGUAAGUGGAAUUCCGAGUGUAGAGGUGAAAUUCGUAGAUAUUCGGAGGAACACCAGUGGCGAAGGCGGCUUACUGGACUAUACCUGACACUGAGGCGCGAAAGCGUGGGGAGC
This 247-nucleotide ribosomal RNA is filed under the name uncultured bacterium. RNAcentral describes it as "partial 16S ribosomal RNA". It matches the Rfam family "Bacterial small subunit ribosomal RNA", at positions 523 to 769 of the family's 1533-position model. The record is from RNAcentral.